CCUGAUCCCUGAUCCCAAGUGGCCAACGUAGAACUCCGAGAACAGCUGGUCUUCUCCAGGGCUUCGAUAGCAGAGCUCCAGUUCCUGAAGAGGCAAAGAGUUGAGUUGCCACCCUGUUCAUCUUGCAUGGAAGGUCUUUCCCCACCUGACGCCUUCUUGGCCCUGCUUGGCUCCAUAAGGACACUCCGAUGAUCCCUGUACUGAAAUCAACCAUCACCUUCAGACACUGCUCUUUUCCCAAUUUUCCACAGAAGGAUGAGGACACAACUGAGUACCUCACGGGUGAGCCACAGCAGCCAGGAACCUGGGGACAGAUGAGCUUCAUGGUCAGGUGGAAAUGCACCCAACUGGGAGAAUGCGGGAGCUGCAGCAGAUUCCUCGGGGAAGGGAAGAUGGACUUUCCUGGCCCCCGGGGCUUGCCCCUCAAGUCAGGGGUGUGUGUGGUGGUGGUGGUGGUGGUGAGGGUGGUGGGUGACGGUGAUGGCGAGGAUGGUCUUUUUCCCAGGGCACAGGCGCUCUCUCUCUCUGUCUUUAUCUCCCUCUUGUGAUCAUCGCUUUCAUUGUUCCAAACCUUCUCUGUUCUUCAUGGAAGGAUUCCUGGACUAGAGGCCAUUUGGUAUCAUGCUGUGCUGGGUCCAGGGGAUUCGCUGGCUCACCCACCCACUGACUUUUUCUUGUUCUUCUUUUUUUUAAUUUUUGAGAUGUUGUCUUGCUCUGUCACCCAGGCUGGAGUGCAAUGGCGCGAUCCUGGCUCACUGCAACCUCCAUCUCCUGGGUUCAAGUGAUUCUCCUGCCUCAGCCUCCCAAGUAGCUGGGGUUACAGGCGUGCGUCACCACACCCAGCUAAUUUUUGUAUUUUUAGUAGAGACAGGGUUUCACCAUGUUGGUCAGGCUGGUCUUGAACUCCUGACCUCAUGAUCCACCUGCCUCAGCUUCCCAAAGUGCUGGGAUUACAGGCGUGAGCCACCAUGCCUGGCUUUUUUUUUUUUUUUUUUUUGAGAUGCAGUCUUGCUCUGCCACCCAGACUGGAGUGCAGUAGCGCGAUCUUGGCUCGCUGCAGCCUCCACCUCCUGGGUUCAAGUUAUUCUCAUGCCUCAGCCUCUUGAGUAGCUGGGACCACAGGCACCUGCCACCACGCCUGGCUAAUUUUUUAGCCCACUUACUUUUUCAUGUUUUCCUUUCCUUGUUUGUCUAACGUUAAGAGUUGAAGCAAGGGGGGAUUUGAUUCUACUUGCACUGACAAGCGCACCUCACUCUGGCUGCUGCGGUGUCUGGGUUUCUCCCUGGCUGUAUUCGUCUCUCACCCCAUGGCUCUUUCCCUGUCUCCUGCUCAGCCCUGGGCCUGGGUCAGCCAGAGGGAGUUCUGGGUCCCCCCUUACCGUCUGCUGAAGAUGAGCAGCUGAGGCUUCUCCUGCUCCAGGGCCCUCAGCUCCUGCCUCAUCUCAUCACUCAGAGUCAUCUGGUCCAGCCUGAAAGCACAAAGGGAGCCGGGUCCUCCUGGGAUCCCCCAUGUGGUCCCCAGGUCCCCAGGGCCCAGAAUCCCGGGACCUGUCACCUUCUGAGGCAGCGGCCGCAGGGAUGAAUCAAUCCUGCCCUGCCUGUUCUGAGGCCCAGACAAGGAGGCGGUGAAAAGACCCUGUCUUCUGCGAAGGGCUCUGCAUUCAUUCCCCUACUGCUGUUAGAGCUGUUCUUCCCCUGGGGAGGAGCGCAGACCUUGAAGUAGAAGGUUAUUCUUCUCAACUAAGUCCUGGCUCCAGGAGGGAAGGAGGUGGAAACCUACUUGGGACUCUAGAGAGCAAACCCCCUCGGAAGCAGCCCAGGUUUGACAGGUUUGGGAGGCCUGGCUGAGGAAAGCCCGAGGCCCAGGCUUCCCGGACCCCCUCUGAGAAGGCUCUGGAUGUGGGGGUUUGGAGCCCCUGUCUGCUCCCUGAGAUGUGGCAGGGCCCCUGGCAGGAGCCGUGGCAAACACUGGAGACAAUCUGGCUGCUCAUAAUAGGCGAUGGAUAAAAACAUGAUGGUGAAGUCUGAUGGGACCAUGGAGCCUCAGCUCAUAGUGAGCCAGAAUUAAUCAGGCCCCGGCUUACCUGAUACAGAGGAGACAUUCUGGAGUCCCAGUGCCCAGGAAAGAAGACGGGAGGCAGGAGCAGAGCCUGGGAGAGAUGGCCUGAGGAUGAUGUUGUGAUGGAAGACUGUAUAUGAUCACAUGCACUGCUGUCCAGAAAUAUUCCUUCCUGCUGGACUCAGAGAACCCCAGGACCUCUACCCAACGUGCCUGCUCCAAAGAAGGAAUGAGGUUCUGCAGAG
Long non-coding RNA from Pan troglodytes (chimpanzee), 2304 nucleotides. RefSeq lists it as uncharacterized. The record is from RefSeq and is a predicted model, not a curated record. The transcript is spliced from 9 exons. NCBI's taxonomy places the organism in Eukaryota, Metazoa, Chordata, Mammalia, Primates, Hominidae.